This 245-nucleotide long non-coding RNA is filed under the name Capsicum annuum. RNAcentral's name for it is "long non-coding RNA (CANN_LNC006084)". Lineage: Eukaryota; Viridiplantae; Streptophyta; Magnoliopsida; Solanales; Solanaceae. The record is from RNAcentral.
UCAAUACACUCCUAAGGAUAGAGAAGUAUACCAUUCAUGUCUACUUAGACAACUAUAAUGUUCACACACUAGUCAUGAGACCACAAUUAAGAUAACCAAGGUCCUAGGCUAAGGGUCAAAUAUCAUACCUUACAAAUUCAUGGCCUAUAGGAAUUAAUAACUCCCAAGUUUACCAUUUAAUCAACUAUCGUCUGAAUUCCCCGCCCAAUCUCGCAAGAUAUCAAUGAUUACAUUACAAACAAGCU